This 253-nucleotide ribosomal RNA is filed under the name uncultured bacterium. Its description in RNAcentral is "partial 16S ribosomal RNA". It matches the Rfam family "Bacterial small subunit ribosomal RNA", at positions 524 to 776 of the family's 1533-position model. The record is from RNAcentral.
UACGUAGGGUGCGAGCGUUGUCCGGAAUUAUUGGGCGUAAAGAGCUUGUAGGCGGUCUGUCGCGUCUGCCGUGAAAUUUCGAGGCUCAACCUCGAACUUGCGGUGGGUACGGGCAGACUAGAGUGUGGUAGGGGAGACUGGAAUUCCUGGUGUAGCGGUGAAAUGCGCAGAUAUCAGGAGGAACACCGAUGGCGAAGGCAGGUCUCUGGGCCACUACUGACGCUGAGAAGCGAAAGCAUGGGGAGCGAACAGG